UUACCUGGGUUUAUCCUGCCAGUAGUCAUAUGCUUGUCUCAAAGAUUAAGCCAUGCAUGUCUCAGUACAGGCCGACCUAAGGCGAAACCGCGAAUGGCUCAUUAAAUCAGUCAUGAUUCAUUGGAUGUAGUAAAAAUCCAAUUUUUACUCGGAUAACUGUGGUAAUUCUAGAGCUAAUACAGGCGAUCGAGCUCCGACCCCGGCCGGCGUGUCCAGCGCCCGUUGGCCGACCUCCCAACCCGUCGCCCUUCGCGGCGCGGGCGGACGGACCCGGCGGCGGGUUUAGCGGCGUCGGUGCCAUUGGGGGAAGGGCGCUUUUAUUAGAUCAAAGACUGACUUCCGGGCUUCGGUCCGGACGCUUAAAAAAAGGUCGAUGAUGACUCUGAAUAACCUAGCCGAGCGCUGCGGUCCUAGUACCGGCGCCGUAUCCUUCGAGUGUCUGCCUUAUCAGCUUUCGAUUGUAGGUUAAACGCCUACAAUGGCUGUAACGGGUAACGGGGAAUCAGGGUUCGAUUCCGGAGAGGGAGCCUGAGAAACGGCUACCACAUCUAAGGAAGGCAGCAGGCACGCAAAUUACCCACUCCCGGCACGGGGAGGUAGUGACGAAAAAUAACGAUGCGGGACUGGAUCCAUUGGAGGGCAAGUCUGGUGCCAGCAGCCGCGGUAAUUCCAGCUCCAAUAGCGUAUAUUAAUGUUGCUGCGGUUAAAAAGCUCGUAGUUUGACUUCCUGUUCGGGGCGGGCAGCAGUUUUGGCCCCGCGCGGGUCGAAGCUCUCCCGUUCGCCGACGGGGAGCGCGGAGGGCCCUUUUUUUAAUGGUCGCCCGCGUCGCAUUUUACGGUGCGCGCGUUUUCGUCGCCCCCGGGUCCCCGUGUCCUUUCCCCGCGCUUUAACGGCGGGGAUGUGCGCGGUGGAUGCGAGGAGCGCGGCGCGAGGCAAAAAAGAGAUUCGUUUUUCGAACGUCGUUCGGAGGAGGCGUUCGGGACGGACCGCGGCAGCAGCAGCACUGGUCGCGGCGGCGUCGAAGAGUUAGUUGGUCGGCUAGCUAGCUAGCUAGUUACUAGCGAGGAAGGAAGGGAGCCAGCGAGUGAGCGAGCGAGAGUCGGGCCAAAAAGGCUUCCGCGAUCGCGGGCGCGCACGAGCGAGUAUCGGGNGGGUUCUCCAUUCGGUACGUCGUCUUCGUUGUCGCGUUCGGACGCGGGAGUUCCUUUCCGUCGUCUCCUCCUCCUCCUCCUCUUAUUACUCCUCCUAGUNGUGCUGCUACUACUACUACCACUAGCUCGUCAAAAUCCGUCGUCGUCGACUGUGUGUGCGUGUCGCGGCCGAACCACCCCGCAACGCUUACUUCGGCGGCGUGUCGAGCAGCGGUCUCGCCAAAAAAAACCUCGGCCGCGUUUUCCCCUUCCACCGAGGAGCUCCCCCUCCUAGCGGGUUUCGGAACGGGUGAGCCCGUCGGGGAAUCACGGCGGCCGCGUACGCGCGACGCGUAAGCGACAUUUUAAAAAGCCUCCGGUCUUCGCUCCUCCCGGCGAAUCAUGGCGGGAGUUUAAAAGCGACGAUUUCCGUCGCGGGUGCCAAACAACCUCCCGCACCCGGACUCUUUUAAACCCGCCGACGCUCACGGGGUGCUCUUCACCGGGUGCCCCGCGUGGUCGGCAAUUACACUUUGAAAAAAUUAGAGUGCUCAAAGCAGGCUUCUAAACGAAAAUGCCUGAAUGGUGGUGCAUUCGGGACACCGAGGUAAUGAUUAAUGGAAGCGGUCGGGGGCAUUAGUAUUGCGGCGCUAGAGGUGAAAUUCUUGGACCGUCGCAAGACUGACUACAGCGAAAGCAUUUGCCAAGUACGCUUUCAUUAAUCAAGAACGAAAGUUAGAGGAUCGAAGGCGAUCAGAUACCGCCCUAGUUCUAACCGUAAACGAUGCUAACUGGCGAUCCGCCGGAGUCAAUCCCACGACUCGGCGGGGAGCCCCCGGGAAACCGAAGUUUUCGAGUUCCGGGGGAAGUAUGGUUGCAAAGCUGAAACUUAAAGGAAUUGACGGAAGGGCACCACCAGGAGUGGAGCCUGCGGCUUAAUUUGACUCAACACGGGGAACCUCACCAGGUCCGGGCACCGGAAGGAUUGACAGAUUGAGAGCUCUUUCUCGAUUCGGUGGAUGGUGGUGCAUGGCCGUUCUUAGUUGGUGGAGCGAUCUGUCUGGUUCUGAUUCCGAUAACGAACGAGAUUCUUUUNUGCUAACUAGUCGGCGAAUCGUCUCCCAAGAAGGGUCCUUCCCGGUUGGUAUCGGCGUCGAAUUNUUCGCCGCCCCCGUCGCUUAGCGUGGAGGUCGUUUUCUCAGCUUUACACCCACUNUUUUUCGUCGGUCGGUCAGCAGUAGGAGGGGUGGCCGCUGCAAAGCGGCUUCUUACCUCCGUUCUGCUGUUUCGGCCGGCGUUGGGGGCCCGGGUGUGGGCGAGGGGCGUCUUCGCGUGGCGGCGGCGGGAUCAGGUGACGGGGAAGCGUCGUACCUCCGCGCGUUGGUCCCAGCGAGGGGCGUUCGUCGCAACAUCUUCUUAGAGGGAUCGGCAGCGUCUAGCUGCAUGAGAUGGAGCAAUAACAGGUCUGUGAUGCCCUUAGAUGUUNUGGGCCGCACGCGCGCUACAAUGAAGGGAUCAGCGUGCUUUCCCCCUCCGAAAGGAGCGGGUAACCCGUUGAAACCCCUUCCCGAUUGGGAUUGGGGAUUGUAAGUGUUUCCCAUGAACGAGGAAUUCACUAGUAAGCGCAAGUCAUUAGCUUGCGAUGAUUACGUCCCUGCCCUUUGUACACACCGGCCCGUCGCUACUACCGAUUGAAUGAUUCGGUGAGGGCAUCGGACUGGCGCCCUCGAAGCGCCGGCGGCGGCCCAAACGCCGUCGUCGUGUCGCUCCCGGGCUGACGGAAAGAUGU
RNAcentral lists this ribosomal RNA (2920 nucleotides) under Ligia italica. RNAcentral describes it as "partial small subunit ribosomal RNA". The stretch from base 2 to 2368 matches the Rfam family "Eukaryotic small subunit ribosomal RNA". Lineage: Eukaryota; Metazoa; Arthropoda; Malacostraca; Isopoda; Ligiidae. The record is from RNAcentral.